RNAcentral lists this ribosomal RNA (400 nucleotides) under Holosticha sp. RNAcentral's name for it is "partial small subunit ribosomal RNA". It matches the Rfam family "Eukaryotic small subunit ribosomal RNA", at positions 582 to 975 of the family's 1831-position model. The record is from RNAcentral. Lineage: Eukaryota; Ciliophora; Spirotrichea; Urostylida; Holostichidae.
AUUCCAGCUCCAAUAGCGUAUAUUAAAGUUGUUGCAGUUAAAAAGCUCGUAGUUGGAUUUCUGUGAGAGUGCCGGUGUCGGCUGAUGCUUGUACGCAGGCGCUCUUACAUCCUUCUGUUAACUGUUCUUGGCAUUUUAUUGCUGGUUCAGGGCUCAGAUAUUUUACCUUGAGAAAAUUAGAGUGUUUCAGGCAGGCUUAUGCCGGAAUACAUUAGCAUGGAAUAAUGGAACAGGACCUGUGCGUCUCUCGGGGCGCCGGUCUCCGUUGUUGGUUUCGGGGACUAAUGUAAUGAUUAAUAGGGAUAGUUGGGGGCAUUAGUAUUUAAUAGUCAGAGGUGAAAUUCUCGGAUUUGUUAAAGACUAACUUAUGCGAAAGCAUUUGCCAAGGAUGUUUUCAUCA